ACCUCUCUCCUUUUCCUUUUCUUCCUUCCCUUCCCCUCCCCUCUUCACGCACACACCACUCAUCUCUCUCCCUUUAUUUUCUUUCCUUCAUUUUUCCCCCUUCCUCACGCAACACCUCUCUCCCAUUUCUCCCUUUCUCAUUUCUUCCUCUACCCACAACAAAUCGAGAGAGUGAUUCACGCAGGAAUGGUGAGAGAGCCCGAGUUGCAGAAAUUUACGAAGAAGAGGAGGAGAAUAAAAUGGUAGGUGGAAUGUUAUUUGUUCUUCAGUAAAGACGUGCUUGCAUAUUGGAGUUUCACUCUAGUGCUCGCAUGAUCAGCUGUUAUUCAAAGGCAGGAAGCUGUAAUGCACUCGACACAAAGUUACUCACAUUUGGCAAUGUUGUAUCUUUGUAUUGCUGAGUAAGAUGCCAUUAAUUUGUGCUCAAUAUACUUAGAUUACUACGUUACUGGAUUUGAGUAAUGUAAGUGUCUUGCGGUAGGUAGGUGGAAUGUCAUUUAUUUUUCAGUAAAGACGUGUUUGCAUAUUAGAGUUCCACUCUAGUGUUCGCAUGAUCAGCUGUUGUUCAAAGACACGAAGCUGUAAUGCACUUGACACGAAAUUACUCAUAUUUGGCAACGCUGUGUCUUUGUACAUUUAAGCCACCAAAUUGUAACAGUAUUAUAGUAGGUGAGAAUGUAUGUAGUUGCUUCCAA
Alnus glutinosa is the source of this 695-nucleotide long non-coding RNA. RefSeq lists it as uncharacterized. The record is from RefSeq and is a predicted model, not a curated record. Lineage: Eukaryota; Viridiplantae; Streptophyta; Magnoliopsida; Fagales; Betulaceae. The transcript is spliced from 2 exons.